Colletotrichum gloeosporioides Cg-14 is the source of this 73-nucleotide transfer RNA. It matches the Rfam family "tRNA". Rfam says of the family: Transfer RNA (tRNA) molecules are approximately 80 nucleotides in length. Their secondary structure includes four short double-helical elements and three loops (D, anti-codon, and T loops). Further hydrogen bonds mediate the characteristic L-shaped molecular structure. tRNAs have two regions of fundamental functional importance: the anti-codon, which is responsible for specific mRNA codon recognition, and the 3' end, to which the tRNAs corresponding amino acid is attached (by aminoacyl-tRNA synthetases). tRNAs cope with the degeneracy of the genetic code in two manners: having more than one tRNA (with a specific anti-codon) for a particular amino acid; and 'wobble' base-pairing, i.e. permitting non-standard base-pairing at the 3rd anti-codon position. The record is from Rfam. NCBI's taxonomy places the organism in Eukaryota, Fungi, Ascomycota, Sordariomycetes, Glomerellales, Glomerellaceae.
AGCACGGUGGCGGAGUGGUUAACGCAGUGGACUUGAAAUCCACAGAUCCCUGGAUCAAAACCAGGCUGUGCUC